Molecule: ribosomal RNA, 544 nt
Filed under: uncultured bacterium
Lineage: Bacteria
Description: bacterial SSU rRNA
Rfam family: Bacterial small subunit ribosomal RNA
Source: RNAcentral
GAUUCAUUUUCUCAGUAACGUAGCUUAACGCGGUGAAGUUGACCGCCUGGGGAGUACGGUCGCAAGAUUAAAACUCAAAGGAAUUGACGGGGACCCGCACAAGCGGUGGAUGAUGUGGAUUAAUUCGAUGCAACGCGAAAAACCUUACCUACCCUUGACAUGCCACUAACGAAGCAGAGAUGCAUUAGGUGCCCGAAAGGGAAAGUGGACACAGGUGCUGCAUGGCUGUCGUCAGCUCGUGUCGUGAGAUGUUGGGUUAAGUCCCGCAACGAGCGCAACCCUUGUCUCUAGUUGCUACGCAAGAGCACUCUAGAGAGACUGCCGGUGACAAACCGGAGGAAGGUGGGGAUGACGUCAAGUCCUCAUGGCCCUUAUGGGUAGGGCUUCACACGUCAUACAAUGGUGCGUACAGAGGGUUGCCAACCCGCGAGGGGGAGCUAAUCCCAGAAAACGCAUCGUAGUCCGGAUCGUAGUCUGCAACUCGACUACGUGAAGCUGGAAUCGCUAGUAAAUCGCGGAUCAGCAUGCCGCGGUGAAUACGUUC